CGUGCAGGCGGUUCGAUAAGUUGGAUAUGAAAUCUCCCGGCUUAACUGGGAGAGGCUAUUCAAUACUACCGGACUAGAGAGUGGUAGAGGAAGAUGGAAUUCCAGGUGUAGUGGUGAAAUGCGUAGAUAUCUGGAGGAACACCAGUGGCGAAAGCGAUCUUCUGGACCAUUUCUGACGCUCAGAGCGAAAGCUAGGGUAAGGUAAACG
This 208-nucleotide ribosomal RNA is filed under the name uncultured bacterium. Its description in RNAcentral is "partial 16S ribosomal RNA". It matches the Rfam family "Bacterial small subunit ribosomal RNA", at positions 568 to 776 of the family's 1533-position model. The record is from RNAcentral.